RNAcentral lists this ribosomal RNA (776 nucleotides) under Xanthocytophaga flava. RNAcentral describes it as "partial 23S ribosomal RNA". It matches the Rfam family "Bacterial large subunit ribosomal RNA", at positions 1413 to 2229 of the family's 2925-position model. The record is from RNAcentral. Lineage: Bacteria; Pseudomonadati; Bacteroidota; Cytophagia; Cytophagales; Rhodocytophagaceae.
CCCUGAUGGACAACUGGUUAAUAUUCCAGUACUUAGUAAAUGAGCCAUCAAGUGACGGAGGGGCGCGUUAGCUGCGGACAGACGGAAUUGUCCGUUAAAGUGAGUGAAAGCUCAUGAUAGUACACUACGUCUUCGGACAGGGUGAUAAUGCUAAGAAGCCACUUCCAAGAAAAGCUUGGGAAGCAAUUGUUUACUGACCCGUACCGUAAACCGACACAGGUAGUCGGGUAGAAUAUACUCAGGUGCUCGAGUGAGUCACGGCUAAGGAACUCGGCAAAUUAACCCUGUAACUUCGGGAAAAGGGGAACCACAGCAAUGUGGUCGCAGAGAAAUGGCCCAGGCGACUGUUUAACAAAAACACAGGGCUUUGCCAAAACGAAAGUUGACGUAUAAGGCCUGACACCUGCCCGGUGCUGGAAGGUUAAGAGGGGAUGUUAGUCGCAAGGCAACGCAUUGAAUCGAAGCCCCAGUAAACGGCGGCCGUAACUAUAACGGUCCUAAGGUAGCGAAAUUCCUUGUCGGGUAAGUUCCGACCUGCACGAAUGGUGUAACGAUCUGGGCACUGUCUCGGCCGUGAGCUCGGUGAAAUUGUAGUAGCGGUGAAGAUGCCGCUUACCCGCAACGGGACGGAAAGACCCCGUGCACCUUUACUAUAGCUUAACGUGGGUGCUGGGUCAAGCAUGUGUAGGAUAGGUGGGAGACUGCGAACCGGUGUCGCCAGGCAUCGGGGAGUCAACGUUGAAAUACCACCCUUGCUUGAUUUAGCGCCUAAUCCC